UACAGAGGGUGCGAGCGUUGUCCGGAAUCACUGGGCGUAAAGGGCGCGUAGGCGGCUUUUCAAGCGUGCGGUGAAAGCUCGGGGCUUAACUCCGAGUCUGCCGUGCGAACUGGGAGGCUUGAGUCUGGUAGAGGUCGAUGGAAUUCCGGGUGUAGCGGUGGAAUGCGUAGAGAUCCGGAAGAACACCGGUGGCGAAGGCGGUCGACUGGGCCAGAACUGACGCUGAGGUGCGACAGCGUGGGGAGCAAACAGG
Molecule: ribosomal RNA, 253 nt
Filed under: uncultured bacterium
Lineage: Bacteria
Description: partial 16S ribosomal RNA
Rfam family: Bacterial small subunit ribosomal RNA
Source: RNAcentral